RNAcentral lists this long non-coding RNA (3210 nucleotides) under Mus musculus (house mouse). RNAcentral describes it as "long non-coding RNA chr11:73053528-73056738". The record is from RNAcentral. Lineage: Eukaryota; Metazoa; Chordata; Mammalia; Rodentia; Muridae.
GUACAGUGUGUUUGGGGGAGAUUUUUCAUCCUGGUUCAAGAGUGACUUUCCCUGCCGUUGUUUCACGAUCUUUCUGGCUUUGUCCUGUAUGUCCGGUCGUCAUCCAAAUACCCAAGAGGAAGGGGUUCUAACAUCACCUUUGUAAAUGUGAGACGCUGUCAGAUAGUUCUCGGUUAGAGCUAGAAGAGUGGAACAGAAGACAGGGUCAGGGAGGCUGUGUCAGAGGGGAGCCGUGCAUCCUUACCUCGGAACCUGCUCCUCUGCUUUCAUCCUAGUGAUGUUAGUUAGCUGUUCCUUGCCUUUAAGAAGAGUGGACGGGCUUCACUCUGAAGCUUUCUUUUAGGGCACUUGGAGCUCUUUUGGAGCAGCUGGGAUUUUUAUUGGUAAUAAUGCAUGGUACAUGCAGGCCUCUCAGUACUUAUUCUCAAAGAGACCUAAAUCAACUGUAGCCUAUUUUAUUAAGGUAUUUUUCUCCCUAGAACUUAUAGCAAGGCAGUUGAUAGUGGUGGGCUUUUUUUCUUUCUUUGUGGUGCUAGGUGUAACUCUGAGACUCACUCAUGCUAAUCAAGUCAAGUCACCACAUCCCAGCCCAAUUACUACUUUUCUGUUUGCUUGCUUGAGGCAGCGUCUCAUGGAGCUCAGACUGAUUUCAAACUGAAGAUGAUUUUAAACUCAUGGUCUUCCUGCUUCUACCUCCCAAGUUCUAAGAUUCUAGGGGUGCACCAUGACUCUCUAGCAAAGCAGUUUUUAAAAGGAGCGCUCAAUAGAGUGAGCCUACAGCCUACAUCCUUCUCACUGCCUUCUUCUGUAAGUCCAUGAACACCCCGACAGUCCUCUCUGUGCAUUUGUAAAUAUUGGUGUUUAUGAAGGGCUCAGGAGGCAGCCUUCUGACUGCGUGUUGAAGCUCUGGUGCUGUGUGAGUCUCUUUAGCCUGACUGAUGAAAGCGGAAGGAAGCCCAGGAACCUGCUGGGUGAGGGGAGGUGGCUACUGUUUGUUGAGACUGUGCUUUCUUAGGGCACUGCGUUAGGCACAUGUUUGUUUCUCACAGCAAGUCUCUGAGGAAUAUAUUUUUUUAUAAUUACUUUACAAAGGAAGAAACAGGUUGUAGAAGUUUAAUGAGUUGCUCAGAGCUAAUGAAAAACUCAGGAUUCUAACCUAUAUCUGUCUAACUUUAAAGACUUAAACCUUACUUUAAAAAAAUUGUUUUAGUGUGUGUAAUUUUAGUCAACAAUUGCUUAUAAGAAGAGCAAUCAGAAUCUUCCGUUUCUGCCAAGUUUUUGUUUUAGGUAGAAUCUCACAUAGCUCAUGGACUCUGAUCCUCCUGCCUCUGACUCCCAAGUUCUGAGUUUAUUGGUAUGUGCCACCAUACUCAGCUAUGCAGAUAUUUCAUUUUCAAGGCAGUAUGUUUGCCUGGACAUCGGUUGGGGAAUAUUGCUCAUUUUAUAGUGCAACCUGAAUACAAGCCUAAGGCAAGAUGGCCUAAGAUAAAAUUGUGGGCAGAUGCAGUUGGAUAAGUCCUAGAGGUAACUAUUGUUUUUGUAUCUCCUGAGUAGUUUAAUGUGGAGUCAGGAUUGGGAACCAUUGGGUUUGAACAAAGGUUCUGAAGCCCAUUUACCUGGAUUCAAAUUCUUUUUGUCGCUCUGUAACCUUGGACAAAAUUAGACAGAACUGUCAGGAGUCUGUCAACAUGUUGCAGCUCUUAGAUUGGUGCUUUGGCACAUAGUAGGUAUCUAGUGGAUGUUAGUUAUCUGGCGUUCUUCUAAGUAGUCACCUGAGCAAACCAGCUUCAGAGAGGGGAACUGAAAUGAGUAUCUUCAUACCCACAGCUAUACCAGCUGUCAACUAAUUUUUUUUUCUUAUUAAUAUCAACAAUAAUAACACUUGUUAAAUGCUUACUGAGUAACGGUUGCUCUGCUACAUGGCUAAUUUGUCCUUUAGCAAUCCCCUGGGGGAUGAGAAAAUCAAAGUGCUGAGAGGGAGUGAAAAACUUGCAGGACUGCACUUGAAGGCUGGACUGACUAGAAGCCGGUGUUUUUAUUUUGCUAGCAUUCAGGGACACAGCUUGGCACAGGCUACAUCUAGUAUGCAUCAACAGGGAUUUGCUACUUUUGGAUGUCUAUAUAGUAGAUUGCUAAAUAGCUUUGGUCCUCAUGUCUCCAGGAUCAGAGCUUUUAUGGUUGGAAGGGACCUUCUAGAUUAUUUAGACCAGCUCCCUUCCUAAUACUUCAGGCCUUUUGUCUUCCAGAGAAGGUAUACAAAUCAUUAUGGGGCAGGCAGCUUUGUCUUAGGACACUUGCCUGUGUGGAACAUUGCUCUCUACGAGUUUCUGUCUGGUAACCAGGUUGCUUUGUGACUCCUAGGAAAACCACUGUUAAGUACUUUCCUCUUUCAUACAGUGAUGGCUAUAGAAAUACGACCUCAGGGGCUGGAGAGAUGGAUGGCUCAGAGGUUAAAAGCACUGGCUGCUCUUCCAGAGGUCCUGAGUUCAAUUCCCAGCAACCACAUGGUGUCUCACAACCAUCUCUAUAGUGAGAUCUGGUACCCUCUUCUGGCCUACAUGCAGGCAGAAUGUUGUAUACAUGAUAAAAUAAAUCUUAAAAAAGAAAGAGAGAGAGAAAGAAAAAGAGAACUACAGCCUCACUGCCCUUCUUUUCUAUCUUUUGAGACAAAGUGUUAGGAUAGCCCAGGUGGCCUAAAGCUUAGGUAGUCCUCUUGCCUUCUAAGUACUGGGUUACUAGUGUGAGCCAUCUCGUUUGGUCCUGACCAACUUUCUUUUGUUUGACGUGUCUUUCUGGUCCCCCGUCUCUCUGGGGUUUCUACAUGUCCUUUCUUAGGUGCUGUGUAGACUCUGGAUAUGGUAUCUGUGUUGAACAGCAGGCUUGUUGGUCCUUGUCCUCUCUCUUGUGCCAACCAGGGCAGUGGACCUGUCUUCAGCACAGAAGUUUCCUGAACGUGUGGCUCUUAUCCUACCUGCUGAGUGCUGUGCUAGGGUUGCGGGGUUGCAUCAUCACACCUGGUUGAUACAUCACUGUAUCUUCACCUUGAGUCUGUAUAGUUUCUUUUUUCUUGAUCCAGUUGUCAGCUGAGUUGUACAGUGUAUUUCCAUCUGCAGAGGGACAGCUGCACCGAUUUCCUGGGCUGUGCACAUUGACUCUCAUGGCACACCAUCCACAGUAUCCUUUGAAUUGUGUUGAUUUAGUAAUCUUGUC